RNAcentral lists this long non-coding RNA (964 nucleotides) under Anser brachyrhynchus (Pink-footed goose). RNAcentral describes it as "lncRNA (ENSABRG00000003489.1)". The record is from RNAcentral. Lineage: Eukaryota; Metazoa; Chordata; Aves; Anseriformes; Anatidae.
AGGUUAAAAGUAUUGCGGCUAAAGUCAAGGUGGUGAAGGACCUCCUUGGCAGAACGAAGUCACAGCACCCUCAGGAGGGCGAUGGCAUGUGGUGAGGAGCUGUGGACAGGACCAGGAGGAGAGGCCAGGGCUGGAGCAAGUCUGUAUCCUGCUGCAGCCCCGUUGCCCCCAUGCUGUGGCCUGUUGCAUCCUGGAGGAAGCAGAGUGGUGCUUGUGCUGCUUCAAGAAUAAGAAUCAUGAAGCCUGGAUUAUUCAAACAAAUUCUGGGGCAGUCUUCUGACUUCAAAUGUUUCCUGGAAUGCUUUUGUGAAAAAUGAGCAGCCAAGCAGUUCUCAUCCAGUUCGUGUGUCUGAUUCUUUGUGAACAAGAGAAUCCCAGGUUCACAGCAAGCCCCAGAGUAUCCUGCAAAGCCAUCUGAGUCAAGUUACAUUUUGCACUCUGCUCAUCCCCUUGAUAAAAAAUACACACCAAAAAAUGAGCUAUCAACCAGUGAAACAGCCAUACUGUCCAGCUUUCCAUCACAGAUAAUGCCUGGUUAGCCCAACUGUGGUUUCACCCUUGAAAGUACUUUGUGUCUGCCCACAAGUGCUGUUACCUGUGCUGGGAGCAGCUCGGUGUUGGUUUGGCACCGCUCUGCAUGCUGCAGUCACGGCAUCUGAACAGAAAGCUGCAAAUUGGUACCUCUUGUUUCACAGGAGGAGAGCAAAGCAGGAUGCCUGCUCUGACGUGCCCGUGCUUGGGUCUGUGCAUGAAUUGCUCAGUGCACAGUGGCUGCACUGGGGCGGGGUGUGCAAGCAGAGAGCUGCGUGAGCACAGACGUUGCACGAGGUGUGGCAAACUCCUUUGCACGGACCAAGCGGGCAGUGGCUUUGAGGAGCUGCAGCUUUCUCAGUCUGGCAGGACUCCUCCAUUAGAUGCUUCUCAGCUCUGUGGAGAUUUGCUUCUGCUGGAUCCUGUAGUCUGA